AAAUUAAAUCCUCUACGUUUUCAUUUAAUUUACUGCACAGACUGAGGGAGUAAGAGAGAGCAUUAAAUGUGAUAUGGGGAGGUGGGUUGCAGAGAUAAGAAAGCAAUGAAAGAGAGGGCAGGAAAAAAAAAGACAAUUGCAGCGAUAAACUCAAGCAAUUAAGUAACCUUCUCGCUACUCAGCAAUCUAUUUAAUGGCCUUGUCGUCCCCCAUUAAUGCUCUCUUUGCAAUUUCUUCCUCAUCAUUUAUUGUUAGCCCCUCUCUCUCU
This 268-nucleotide long non-coding RNA is filed under the name Citrus sinensis (sweet orange). Its description in RNAcentral is "long non-coding RNA (CSIN_LNC000680)". The record is from RNAcentral. Lineage: Eukaryota; Viridiplantae; Streptophyta; Magnoliopsida; Sapindales; Rutaceae.